RNAcentral lists this unclassified non-coding RNA (581 nucleotides) under Hevea brasiliensis (rubber tree). The record is from RNAcentral. Lineage: Eukaryota; Viridiplantae; Streptophyta; Magnoliopsida; Malpighiales; Euphorbiaceae.
AAACCCAGAUCCCAUCAAAAACUCCGACAUCGUCGGCGGCAACGGCCUGAGACCUGAACCUUCACCAUCAUCAUAAUAAAGCUCAUAACUCCGCUCCUCUGCAGCUGCAGCAGCUUCAUCCUCCCCAGGUGCUUCAGAUGGACUACGAAGAACAAUAACCGGAUUAAACGGAGAUCUAUCACCCCGAUUACGCCUGCUCCGUCGAGAACCCAUGUUCACACUCCGAUCUGACUCUGGCCGUUCGUUCCACAUGGGAAACCUCCGGCGAGAUUCCGGCGACCCAAUAUUUCCCUCAGCAACUUCUAUAAAUCCACUAUCACAGUGAGGACAAACAACAUCGUUUCCAACUGAAAUUCUAACAAACCUUGUACACCGAUAACACCAGUACGAAGACAUCUGCAGUCGCCGGAGAUCAGUCAAAACUCAACCCAAUAAACCCGGUUAGAUCCAAUAACUCAAAACCCCCAAAUUAUGCUCCGAUUUGGCUCGCCGGAGAAUAUAAAAAAGGUUUCCUAAGAGAAAAAAAGAAAAAGCACAGAGAGAAGAAAAUGGGGGUAGCGUUGAAGAACGUGAAAGGUAAA